Molecule: ribosomal RNA, 440 nt
Filed under: uncultured bacterium
Lineage: Bacteria
Description: partial 16S ribosomal RNA
Rfam family: Bacterial small subunit ribosomal RNA
Source: RNAcentral
CCUACGGGAGGCAGCAGUGGGGAAUAUUGCACAAUGGGCGAAAGCCUGAUGCAGCGACGCCGCGUGAGGGAAGAAGUAUUUCGGUAUGUAAAGCUCUAUCAGCAAGGAAGAAAGUGACGGUACCUGAUUAGCAGGCACCGGCUAACAACGGGCCAGCAGCCGCGGUAAUACGUAGGGGGCGAGGGUUAUCCGGAUUUACUGGGUGUAAAGGGAGCGUAGACGGCAGCGCAAGUCUGAAGUGAAAUGCCCGGGCUUAACCCCGGAACUGCUUUUGAAACUGUGCAGCUAGAGUGCAGGAGAGGUAAGUGGAAUUCCUAGUGUAGCGGUGAAAUGCGUAGAUAUCAGGAGGAACACCAGUGGCGAAGGCGGCUUACUGGACCGUAACUGACGCUGAGGCUCGAAAGCGUGGGUAGCAAACAGGAUUAGAUACCCCUGUAGUC